This 21-nucleotide non-coding RNA is filed under the name Mus musculus (house mouse). The record is from RNAcentral. Lineage: Eukaryota; Metazoa; Chordata; Mammalia; Rodentia; Muridae.
CAAAAUACACAUACUAAAGGC